UGCUACCGGGCGACCGGAUGCGGAUCUCGAAAGCCUGUCCCAGUUCGGACUGGAGUCUGCAACCCGACUCCACGAAGUUGGAUUCGCUAGUAAUCGCGCAUCAGCCAUGGCGCGGUGAAUACGUUCCCGGGCCUUGUACACACCGCCCGUCAAGCCAUGGGAGCCGGGGGCGCCUGAAGUCCGGGACCGCGAAGACCGGCCUAGGGCGAAACUGGUAACUGGGGCUAAGUCGUAACAAGGUAUC
This 244-nucleotide ribosomal RNA is filed under the name uncultured bacterium. RNAcentral describes it as "partial 16S ribosomal RNA". It matches the Rfam family "Bacterial small subunit ribosomal RNA", at positions 1248 to 1500 of the family's 1533-position model. The record is from RNAcentral.